This 2051-nucleotide long non-coding RNA is filed under the name Homo sapiens (human). RNAcentral describes it as "HSALNT0079101". The record is from RNAcentral. Lineage: Eukaryota; Metazoa; Chordata; Mammalia; Primates; Hominidae.
AUAACUAUUCUAAGAAUGACCAGAAAAACUGUGAGAUUGGCCAAGAUUCCAACAGAACAGGUAUAGGACCUAGACCUUCAGUGUGGGUUUAAAAGUGAUAAUAAGAAAAAUCAUCUUAAAUGCCUCUCUAAACAUUUUUCCUUUCAGUAAUCCAGAGAUUUUUUAAUCCCUAAAACCCUAUCCACCAUUAAGAUAUGAGAGGAGAGGACAGAGGAAACACCCAGAACAACAAAGUCAUCAGUGGAGGAUUUCAAAACCAAUGAUGAAAGAAGUAUCUACCAGAUUGAGGAGAGGGCACACACCCCUCCUGAGCAGCAGGAGAGCUUAGCAGGGAGCAAAGUGCACGCCCUGCCUGGAUUCUUUAGGAUCUCAGUGGUCCCACUCUGGACCCCUAAGAUUUAGCCAGUGGAGGGGUUGAAUGUGGAGCCAGAAAUGAGGCAGAGAAGAUAGAUAAGCUAGAAACUUCAAACUGGCGAGUUGUGCCCUGGGUGGAAAAAGGCCCUCAGGCACUGCAAUUCCUGUCUGGGACAGAGGGCAGACCACCACACCACACAUAGUGCCUGCUGGCCUAAACCAGCAUGUGUGUUUGCAGUGGAGGAGAAAGAAGCAUGAGUUGUUAGAGGGGACUGUAUUAGCCAUCCUCAAGUUUACUACACUUUCCCUUGCAGUAUAGAAAAGAGCCAGAAGCUCCUACUUGUUCCUAGAAAAAGUCAUAGAAGCUAGCCAAGAGUCAGGAAUCUAUGAACUUGCCUUUGGGUCACUACAGAGAGAGGUGAGAUGACACUGAAGGCCUUGGGUUACACAGGCAGGCCAGAAAGCUAAUGGAGGACAAAACUGACAUUUUAUCAGCAGACACAGUGAGGAUAGAAGUCAAGUGAGGUGAGUACAUAUCUCAGCUGGUGAUCAACAGGGAAACGAGAGAACCACAUCACUUGGGUAAGGAGCCCUUCCCCAAAGCCGGAAGGUAAAUAAGCUUCCUUCUGCACCCAGACACCAUCUUGGGCAUAAGAAAAAGGAAGGAAGACCCUUCAGAAAAUAAAACAGCUCCAAAAGGGAGUUUGGAUUUUAAAUUGCUUAAAUAUGAUUAUAUAUGCAACCACAAAAAUAAAGCAGUUAAAUUGGAAUAGGUUCAUUUACCUUCAAAUCACACACUUUAAAAAAAAUAGUUUUCUAAAAUCAUUGGGAAUUUAAGUAGCUCCAGUGUUAGCUGAGAUCAGUUAUAGAAAUGCAGACGCUAGGCUUGUUGCAGACUCACUCCAGGUUAAUUCAAUUUGGGCCUUACUCUGUAUAAAGCGCAAGUGUCCACUUCAGUUUGAGAUGCUCAAGCUUGCUCAGUUCAACUCACCACCCUCCUGACUAGGUGUCCAAGGAGUCCUUUGGUCUUAUGGUUGUCCUGGAGACAGAAGUAGGUUACAAAUCAGAGAGUAGCUUCCUCUGAUUGCUGCGGAGUAAAGGAAAGAGGACUCAGCUGGGCACCCACAGUGGCUGUCGUUCACCUGCAGUACGCUUAAGGCCAGCACCGAAGCUCCCAAUACAGACCAGGACCAUCAGGGUGGGGCAUGGAACUUCUCUGGCAGUGACCUCCCUGCUAGCCCUUGUGUUCACUUCCACACAUACACUUCUCCCCCCUUCCUCAGCCAAUUUAACCUACGUCCCCUUUCUCCUGUUGCCACUGAAGAAAAAUUCUAUUUUCUCUUUUUCUGACACAGUAGCUAUUAAUGGCUAACAGGAAUGAUAAUCCAUUAAACCUGGACCCCAGAGCAUUGAUUCCUUUCCUCAAGGUCAGGAAGAGCUUUCUCCAGAAACAGUAUUUCCAGAUCUCCCAUUUCUGAAAGAGAAGGGAGAGGUUUGCUUUCCAUGCUAAAGAAGGUUGCCCAAACAUUCACUACUACCGUCCUCCUAUGCCCAACAGGACAAAUGACUUCCAGAGAGAGAGAAAGAAGAAAGAAAAAGAAAGAAAGCUUGAAGGAAGGAGGAAGGAAGGAAGGAAGGAAGGAAGGAAGGAAGGAAGGAAGGAAGGGAAAGGAAGGAAGAAAAGAAAGAAGGGAAGA